GGAUGAACGCUGGCGGCGUGCUUGAUACAUGCAAGUCGAACGGAGAGUGUAGCAAUAUACUUUUAGUGGCGAACGGGUGAGUAACGCGUUGGUGACCUGCCCCGAAGCGAGGGAUAACAGUUCGAAAGAACUGCUAAUACCUCAUGUGAUCACCGGUUUUAGAAUCUGGUGAUUAAAGGUGAAAACCGCUUUGGGAGGAGCCUGCGUCCCAUCAGCUAGUUGGUAAGGUAAUGGCUUACCAAGGCGACGACGGGUAGGGGACCUGAGAGGGUGGUCCCCCACACUGGUACUGAAACACGGACCAGACACCUACGGGUGGCAGCAGUAGGGAAUAUUGCACAAUGGGCAAAGCCUGAUGCAGCAACGCCGCGUGAGUGAUGAAGGCCCUCGGGUCGUAAAACUCUUUUAUGAGGGAAGAGAAAGGACGGUACCUCGUGAAUAAGGAUCGGCUAACUACGUGCCAGCAGCCGCGGUAACACGUAGGAUUCUAACGUUAUCCGGAUUUAUUGGGCGUAAAGCGCGUGUAGGCGGUUUGGCAAGUUGGAUGUGAAAGCUCCGGGCUCAACCCGGAGAUGUCGUUCAAAACUGGCAGACUAGAGGACGGUAGAGCGAGGUGGAAUUCCGCGUGUAGUGGUGAAAUGCGUAGAUAUCCGGAGGAACACCAGUCGCGAAGGCAGCUUACUAAACUAUUACUGACGCUCAUGCACGAAAGCGUGGGGAGCAAACAGGAUUAGAUACCCUGGUAGUCCACGCCGUAAACGAUGAUUACUCGAUGUUGGCAAUAUACCGUCAGCGUCCAAGCGAAAGCGUUAAGUAAUCCACCUGGGGAGUACGAUCGCAAGAUUGAAACUCAAAGGAAUUGACGGGGGCCCGCACAAGCGGAGGAGCAUGUGGUUUAAUUCGAUGAUACGCGAGGAACCUUACCUGGGCUCAAACGUAGAGUGACCAUCUGUGAAAGCAGAUUUUCCUUCGGGACAGUCUACGAGGUGCUGCAUGGUUGUCGUCAGCUCGUGCCGUGAGGUGUCGGGUUAAUUCCCCCAUAACGAGCAACCCCUAUCUUUAGUUGCCAUCAGGUCAUGCUGGGGACUCUAAAGAAACUGCCUACGCAAGUAGUGAGGAAGGUGGGGAUGACGUCAAAUCAGCACGGCCCUUACGUCCAGGGCUACACACGUGCUACAAUGGUCGAUACAGAGGGCAGCUACCUGGUGACAGGAUGCAAAUCUCGAAAAUCGAUCUCAGUUCGGAUCGAAGUCUGCAACUCGACUUCGUGAAGUUGGAUUCGAUAGUAAUCGCCUAUAAGCCAUGAUGCGGCGAAUAAGUUCCAGGGCCU
Molecule: ribosomal RNA, 1330 nt
Filed under: uncultured prokaryote
Description: partial 16S ribosomal RNA
Rfam family: Bacterial small subunit ribosomal RNA
Source: RNAcentral